RNAcentral lists this signal recognition particle RNA (315 nucleotides) under Candidatus Bathyarchaeota archaeon. RNAcentral describes it as "signal recognition particle sRNA". It matches the Rfam family "Archaeal signal recognition particle RNA". The record is from RNAcentral. Lineage: Archaea; Thermoproteati; Candidatus Bathyarchaeota.
CGGCGGGGAGGGCCGGGGAGCUAGCCCUUCCCUGUAACCCCAAACGGGCUACACGGGGGGGCCAGUAACCCGAGGGGCGGGGCUGACGCAGGCCGUCUGGCCCAGCCCCCAGCCGUGAAGGCCCGUCCCACGGGGCCGGCGGUCGCCCAGCCACCCCCGUAGGGGGGUGUGUUUGGGCGUUUGCCGGGUGAACCUGGCCAGGCCCGGGAGGGAGCAACCUAAGCCCGGACGUUCGGCGCUCAGGGGGGUGCGGGUGGAAGCACGGGGGCGGAGACACCCCAACGGACACCGGGCGUCGAACCCUGGGACCCGCCG